UAUGUACUCCCUCCGUUCCGAAUUACUUGCCUUAGAUUUGUCUACAUAUGGAGAUAUCUAGCACUAAAAUGAGUCUAGAUACAUCCGUAUCUAAACAAAUUCAAGACAAGUAAUUCGGAACGGAGGGAGUAUGUG
Non-coding RNA from Triticum urartu, 135 nucleotides. The record is from Rfam. NCBI's taxonomy places the organism in Eukaryota, Viridiplantae, Streptophyta, Magnoliopsida, Poales, Poaceae.